This 909-nucleotide unclassified non-coding RNA is filed under the name Hevea brasiliensis (rubber tree). Lineage: Eukaryota; Viridiplantae; Streptophyta; Magnoliopsida; Malpighiales; Euphorbiaceae. The record is from RNAcentral.
GGAAAAUAGUAGCAGCAGUAACUGUAGCAGUAGUGUUUUGAUUCCUUCUUCCUGCCAUGAAACCUACUUUAGUGAUACUAACCGUAUUCUGGCAACAAAUGAUGAUUCCAUGUCCAUGGAUUUUUGUAUCAUGGAUGAGAAAAAUUCAGGCUCUUUUGUCCCAAUAUUUCCUGAAAUUGGAAUGACAGAAACCAUCUGUAUGAAUGAAAAUAUGAGCAGUGCUAAGAUGGGGAAUUUAGAUGACAGUCAUCCAGUGGCUAAUCCUGUUCCUGCCAGGGGAUUGCAGCUGAAAAGAAUGCUUGAUUUCCCUGAAUCAGAAGUCAAUCCACCAGAGAAUAAAAAAUCUCGUGCUACAAGAGAUAUGCAAAAGAGCAAGAAGAAUGUAAAGUCCAAGAAAAACCAGAAGUUCAUUCCAAGUAGCAAUGAGGAAAAAGAGAGAAAUGCUGGACUUGAUGGACAGAGUUCUAGCAGUUGCAGUUCAGAGGAGGAUAAUGUUUCUCAUGAUUCUAAAGCGUCUGAAGUUCUCAAUUCCAAUGGCAAGGCAAGAGCUAGUAGGGGAUCUGCCACAGAUCCCCAGAGCCUUUAUGCAAGGAAAAGAAGGGAGAGGAUAAAUGAGCGAUUGAGAAUCUUGCAGAAUCUUGUUCCUAAUGGAACAAAAGUUGAUAUCAGUACAAUGCUAGAGGAGGCAGUUCAUUACGUAAAGUUUUUGCAGCUCCAGAUCAAGCUUUUAAGCUCUGAUGAUCUGUGGAUGUACGCUCCUAUUGCUUACAAUGGAAUGGACAUUGGCCUCAAUCAGAAGAUCUCUAUGCUUCUAUGAUGUUGGAGGAAGCUGUCAGAACUUUAAAUUAAUGUUAAUUUUUAAUAUAAAUGAGAUUAUUAAUAUAUAAUUAUAUCAACUAAAAUAAUUUC